This 160-nucleotide ribosomal RNA is filed under the name Spongotrochus glacialis. Its description in RNAcentral is "5.8S ribosomal RNA". It matches the Rfam family "5.8S ribosomal RNA". Rfam says of the family: 5.8S ribosomal RNA (5.8S rRNA) is a component of the large subunit of the eukaryotic ribosome. It is transcribed by RNA polymerase I as part of the 45S precursor that also contains 18S and 28S rRNA. Functionally, it is thought that 5.8S rRNA may be involved in ribosome translocation. Lineage: Eukaryota; Polycystinea; Spumellaria; Spongodiscidae. The record is from RNAcentral.
AUACCUUUCAGCGAUGGAUCUCUUGACUCCCGCAACGAUGAAGAACGCCGCGAAACGCGAUAUGUAAUGUGAAUUGCAGGAUUAAGUGAAUCAUCAAAUCUUUGAACGCAAAUUGCGCUUUGACCUUCUGGUCUGAGCAUACCUGGAUCAGACUUUUUUU